Molecule: ribosomal RNA, 405 nt
Filed under: uncultured bacterium
Lineage: Bacteria
Description: partial 16S ribosomal RNA
Rfam family: Bacterial small subunit ribosomal RNA
Source: RNAcentral
GAUGAACGCUGGCGGCGUGCCUAAUACAUGCAAGUCGAGCGAAGCGGGGACGGGGGAGUAACACGUAGAUAACCUCCUAUAAGACUGGGCUUACUUCGGGAAAACGGAGCUUAACCGGCUACUUAUAGCAGGAGCCGCGCUGCAUUAGCUAGUUGGGAAGGUAACGGCUUACCAAGGCAACGGUGCAUAGACGACCUGAGAGGGUGAUCGGCCAAACUGGAACUGAGACACGGUCCAGACUCCUACGUGAGGCAGCAGUAGGGAAUCUUCCGCAAUGGGCGCAAGCCUGAAGGAGCAACGCCGCGUGAGUGAUGAAGUUCUUCGGAUCGUAAAACUCUGUUAUGAGGGAAGCGGUACCUAAUCAGAAAGCCACGGCUAACUACGUGCCAGCAGCCGCGGUAAUUC